Molecule: ribosomal RNA, 468 nt
Filed under: uncultured bacterium
Lineage: Bacteria
Description: partial 16S ribosomal RNA
Rfam family: Bacterial small subunit ribosomal RNA
Source: RNAcentral
GACGAACGCUGGCGGCGUGCUUAACACAUGCAAGUCGAACGGAAAGGCCCUGCUUUUGUGGGGUGCUCGAGUGGCGAACGGGUGAGUAACACGUGAGUAACCUGCCCUUGACUUUGGUAUGACUUCAGGAAGCUGGGGCUAAUACCGGAUAGGAGCUCCUGCUGCAUGGUGGGGGUUGGAAGGUUUCGGCGGUUGGGGAUGGACUCGCGGCUUAUCAGCUUGUUGGUGGGGUAGUGGCUUACCAAGGCUUUGACGGGUAGCCGGCCUGAGAGGGUGACCGGCCACAUUGGGACUGAGAUACGGCCCAGACUCCUACGGGAGGCAGCAGUGGGGAAUAUUGCACAAUGGGCGGAAGCCUGAUGCAGCAACGCCGCGUGAGGGAUGACGGCCUUCGGGUUGUAAACCGCUUUCGCCUGGGACGAAGCGUGAGUGACGGUAAUGGGUAAAGAAGCACCGGCUAACUACGUG